UACGGAGGGUGCAAGCGUUGUCCGGAUUUAUUGGGUUUAAAGGGUGCGUAGGCGGUUCUUUAAGUCCGGGGUGAAAGCCCACUGCUCAACAGUGGAACUGCCCUGGAAACUGGAGAACUUGAGUACAGACGAGGGCGGCGGAAUGGAUGGUGUAGCGGUGAAAUGCAUAGAUACCAUCCAGAACCCCGAUUGCGAAGGCAGCUCGCUUGGCCGAAACUGACGCUGAGGCACGAAAGCGUGGGGAGCGAACAGG
Molecule: ribosomal RNA, 253 nt
Filed under: uncultured bacterium
Lineage: Bacteria
Description: partial 16S ribosomal RNA
Rfam family: Bacterial small subunit ribosomal RNA
Source: RNAcentral